Molecule: ribosomal RNA, 1404 nt
Filed under: Gammaproteobacteria bacterium
Lineage: Bacteria; Pseudomonadati; Pseudomonadota; Gammaproteobacteria
Description: bacterial SSU rRNA
Rfam family: Bacterial small subunit ribosomal RNA
Source: RNAcentral
GCAGUCGAGCGGUAGCACAGAGAGCUUGCUCUCGGGUGACGAGCGGCGGACGGGUGAGUAAUGUCUGGGAAACUGCCUGAUGGAGGGGGAUAACUACUGGAAACGGUAGCUAAUACCGCAUAAUGUCGCAAGACCAAAGUGGGGGACCUUCGGGCCUCAUGCCAUCAGAUGUGCCCAGAUGGGAUUAGCUAGUAGGUGGGGUAACGGCUCACCUAGGCGACGAUCCCUAGCUGGUCUGAGAGGAUGACCAGCCACACUGGAACUGAGACACGGUCCAGACUCCUACGGGAGGCAGCAGUGGGGAAUAUUGCACAAUGGGCGCAAGCCUGAUGCAGCCAUGCCGCGUGUAUGAAGAAGGCCUUCGGGUUGUAAAGUACUUUCAGCGGGGAGGAAGGCGAUAAGGUUAAUAACCUUGUCGAUUGACGUUACCCGCAGAAGAAGCACCGGCUAACUCCGUGCCAGCAGCCGCGGUAAUACGGAGGGUGCAAGCGUUAAUCGGAAUUACUGGGCGUAAAGCGCACGCAGGCGGUCUGUCAAGUCGGAUGUGAAAUCCCCGGGCUCAACCUGGGAACUGCAUUCGAAACUGGCAGGCUAGAGUCUUGUAGAGGGGGGUAGAAUUCCAGGUGUAGCGGUGAAAUGCGUAGAGAUCUGGAGGAAUACCGGUGGCGAAGGCGGCCCCCUGGACAAAGACUGACGCUCAGGUGCGAAAGCGUGGGGAGCAAACAGGAUUAGAUACCCUGGUAGUCCACGCCGUAAACGAUGUCGAUUUGGAGGUUGUGCCCUUGAGGCGUGGCUUCCGGAGCUAACGCGUUAAAUCGACCGCCUGGGGAGUACGGCCGCAAGGUUAAAACUCAAAUGAAUUGACGGGGGCCCGCACAAGCGGUGGAGCAUGUGGUUUAAUUCGAUGCAACGCGAAGAACCUUACCUGGUCUUGACAUCCACAGAACUUAGCAGAGAUGCUUUGGUGCCUUCGGGAACUGUGAGACAGGUGCUGCAUGGCUGUCGUCAGCUCGUGUUGUGAAAUGUUGGGUUAAGUCCCGCAACGAGCGCAACCCUUAUCCUUUGUUGCCAGCGGUUCGGCCGGGAACUCAAAGGAGACUGCCAGUGAUAAACUGGAGGAAGGUGGGGAUGACGUCAAGUCAUCAUGGCCCUUACGACCAGGGCUACACACGUGCUACAAUGGCAUAUACAAAGAGAAGCGACCUCGCGAGAGCAAGCGGACCUCAUAAAGUAUGUCGUAGUCCGGAUUGGAGUCUGCAACUCGACUCCAUGAAGUCGGAAUCGCUAGUAAUCGUAGAUCAGAAUGCUACGGUGAAUACGUUCCCGGGCCUUGUACACACCGCCCGUCACACCAUGGGAGUGGGUUGCAAAAGAAGUAGGUAGCUUAACCUUCGGGAGGGCGCU